CGCGCAGAGAGAGAGAGAGAGCCACGUCCCUGUUGCAAAAUAAGCCGUAGGCUUCUUCACUGUGAAGCAAACACAAGUUUUUGACAGAAGUGAAGAACACAUACACUCAAGAUCUCGAUGCAAUUCUCACACGAAUAAGAAAAGUAAAAGAGCACAAAACAGAAGAUAAAAGGGGGAACAAAUGAAAACCCAGGUAAGGAAAAGGCGUACUUAUCGCCGGAGGAGAAGCUGUAGAGCUUGCCGGAGGCGGAGACGACGAGAAGAGCGACGGAUGCGUCACAGAGAACAGAAAGCUGACGAGCUUUCUCGAUGAGACCGUUGCGACGUUUGGAGAAGGUGACUUGUCGGCUACUUUUGUUCUCAAUUCGCUUGAUUUCUAGUUUUUUUCUUCCCAUGGCUUCUCUCCGAGAGGGCUUUGUGCCCUAAUUUGAUCCUCAGGUUUGGGUUCAAGUCGCCGGAGAUACUAAGCGUUUUCUCUUUCUAUUUUUUUUUUUCCUUUUCUCGCUUUAUUUCUUUCUAUUUUUUGUGCCUAUCUACUUUUUCUUCGUCGGGCCAGAUAUUUUUUUUUUUUUGGGGGUAAACGAGAGUGAUGCAAAAAAACCAAAUAUGUGAAUAAAAACGUUGUGUUUUGAAGACAAGAUUGCCACGUGUACCGC
This 656-nucleotide long non-coding RNA is filed under the name Arabidopsis thaliana (thale cress). RNAcentral's name for it is "natural antisense transcript overlaps with AT5G10140 (FLC) (AT5G01675)". Lineage: Eukaryota; Viridiplantae; Streptophyta; Magnoliopsida; Brassicales; Brassicaceae. The record is from RNAcentral.